GCCUGGGUGGCUCAGUCGGUUGAGCAUCCGACUUUGGCUCAGGUCAUGAUCUCACGGUUCGUGGGUUCAAGCCCCACGUCGGGCU
This 85-nucleotide transfer RNA is filed under the name Felis catus (domestic cat). It matches the Rfam family "tRNA". From Rfam's summary of the family: Transfer RNA (tRNA) molecules are approximately 80 nucleotides in length. Their secondary structure includes four short double-helical elements and three loops (D, anti-codon, and T loops). Further hydrogen bonds mediate the characteristic L-shaped molecular structure. tRNAs have two regions of fundamental functional importance: the anti-codon, which is responsible for specific mRNA codon recognition, and the 3' end, to which the tRNAs corresponding amino acid is attached (by aminoacyl-tRNA synthetases). tRNAs cope with the degeneracy of the genetic code in two manners: having more than one tRNA (with a specific anti-codon) for a particular amino acid; and 'wobble' base-pairing, i.e. permitting non-standard base-pairing at the 3rd anti-codon position. Lineage: Eukaryota; Metazoa; Chordata; Mammalia; Carnivora; Felidae. The record is from Rfam by way of RNAcentral.